This 834-nucleotide unclassified non-coding RNA is filed under the name Hevea brasiliensis (rubber tree). Lineage: Eukaryota; Viridiplantae; Streptophyta; Magnoliopsida; Malpighiales; Euphorbiaceae. The record is from RNAcentral.
UUCAGGUGCCAGUAUUUUGGCCAAGAAUCCUUCUUCAAGACUUUCAUGCUCAAGAGUUGCUUUGUCAGUUUCUAUCUCACAGAGAACAUCACCAACCUCUAUCUUGUCACCUUCCUUUUUCCUCCAUUUAAAAAUGUUACCUUGGUUCAUGGUUGGGGACAAAGCUGGCAUAUCAAGGAUCAGAUGUGGAGGAAGUUCAGAUGAGCUGAUAUUCGCAGGACUCACUUCUGUAGCCCCAUCUCCCCUUGCUGCAUCUGUCUGAGAAGAUGCUUGAUUUUUAACCUCUGAUGCACCACCAACGGUAGCAGGGACUUUUUGUAUGUCAUCUGCUUCUUCCACCGUAAUUGCUAUAGUCUGUCCCACCGGUACAUCUUUUGUUCCUUCAGGGACCAAUAUCUUUGCAAGGAAACCUUCUUCAAGAGUUUCAAACUCAAGCGUUGCUUUAUCAGUCUCUAUCAAACAUAGUACAUCCCCUGCUUGAAUCUUGUCCCCCUCUUUCUUUAUCCAUUUUGCUAUAUUACCUUGAGUCAUUGUAGGGGACAAAGCUGGCAUUCCCACCUCUGUAUAUGAAGGAGCCUCAGCUGACGAGAAGUGCCGAACACCACUUUGUAGCUUAGAUGGUACGACAUGUACUUCACUGAGCAGGCGGAAAUUUAAAAGCCUUAAUGAAGAAGCAUCCACAUCAGGAAUUUGAUUCAGCACCCCAGGAACAUGAUGGAGCGAUCGGAGUGUGGAGGAGUUACAAGGACCGGCGGCGAGAAGACGGCGAGCUCGGAGUAGCGACGGAGCUCGGAAAAUCAACGGAUGACGAAGUCGAGAGAGCGCCAUCGAUCA